This 74-nucleotide transfer RNA is filed under the name Candidatus Glomeribacter sp. 1016415. RNAcentral describes it as "tRNA-Cys". It matches the Rfam family "tRNA". Rfam says of the family: Transfer RNA (tRNA) molecules are approximately 80 nucleotides in length. Their secondary structure includes four short double-helical elements and three loops (D, anti-codon, and T loops). RNAcentral also lists the same sequence under 2 other names. Lineage: Bacteria; Pseudomonadati; Pseudomonadota; Betaproteobacteria; Burkholderiales; Burkholderiaceae. The record is from RNAcentral.
GGCGGGAUAGCAGAGUGGUUAUGCAGCGGCCUGCAAAGCCGUCGACGCCGGUUCGAUUCCGACUCCCGCCUCCA